Molecule: long non-coding RNA, 762 nt
Filed under: Solanum lycopersicum (tomato)
Lineage: Eukaryota; Viridiplantae; Streptophyta; Magnoliopsida; Solanales; Solanaceae
Description: long non-coding RNA (SLYC_LNC001008)
Source: RNAcentral
CAUAAUUAAACCAAACAAGUACUAUCAACUCGAGGAUGAAAGACGGGACAAACAGAGACACUACCUAAAGCAAUUUCAUGCUAAACUAAUACCUUGUUGAAUAGAUAGGUAUUAGAUCAUUUCAAAUCAAGAAAGCUUGAGACAAACUUAAGCAAACAGAACAAUGAUCUGUCGUACAAAGACACAUUAGUUAACAACAAACUCUUCCAAUUCAUGGCAAAACAUUAAACUAUCUAGGAUGAAAGGAUGAGUUACGAGAAUAUAUAAUAACCAAACAUUGAACGAGUAUAAUGAUAUCAUACUACAAAAUGACCUGAAGACGAACGAGUCAUAUGAAUGUGAACUAAACUAAUAUAUGCUCAAGAUUAUGCGACGAAAUAACUUCCCUGGCGCUUGAGGACAUUAUGGAGCGCAUAACAGCCAUGAACUUGAUGAAACCUCAAAAAUGUAGGCUCAAACGAACACCAAGUCAUCCUCGAAAACAGAAACAAGUAAGAAAAAUAUAAAAAACGAUAGUAAUAUAUUAUCAGACCAACCUUUACCCCCUAAUUCGCAGGCAGCAACGAGUCAAAAGAAAAUUUCAUUCUAUCAUGUAAGCUACUUCACGCUAUCAUGAACAACACAGUGAAAACAAGGGAUGCUUGAAGAGAGACGGACGUUACCUUUAGAGGGGCAGUGGAACUGGGACGUUAGCAAUUUACGGAGUACUUCACCACAGACUCCGAACUUUGGGAGUUUUUUAUUCUCUAAAAAUUCCUCCCC